CCUACGGGGUGCAGCAGUGGGGAAUAUUGGACAAUGGGCGAAAGCCUGAUCCAGCCAUGCCGCGUGUGUGAAGAAGGCCUUCGGGUUGUAAAGCACUUUCAGUGGGGAAGAAAGCCUUGGGGCUAAUACCCUCGAGGAAGGACAUCACCCACAGAAGAAGCACCGGCUAACUCCGUGCCAGCAGCCGCGGUAAUACGGAGGGUGCGAGCGUUAAUCGGAAUUACUGGGCGUAAAGCGCGCGUAGGCGGUCUGAUAAGCCGGUUGUGAAAGCCCCGGGCUCAACCUGGGAACGGCAUCCGGAACUGGCAGGCUAGAGUGCAGGAGAGGAAGGUAGAAUUCCCGGUGUAGCGGUGAAAUGCGUAGAGAUCGGGAGGAAUACCAGUGGCGAAGGCGGCCUUCUGGACUGACACUGACGCUGAGGUGCGAAAGCGUGGGUAGCAAACAGGAUUAGAUACCCUAGUAGUC
RNAcentral lists this ribosomal RNA (465 nucleotides) under Vreelandella stevensii. RNAcentral's name for it is "partial 16S ribosomal RNA". It matches the Rfam family "Bacterial small subunit ribosomal RNA", at positions 338 to 795 of the family's 1533-position model. Lineage: Bacteria; Pseudomonadati; Pseudomonadota; Gammaproteobacteria; Oceanospirillales; Halomonadaceae. The record is from RNAcentral.